RNAcentral lists this transfer RNA (64 nucleotides) under Doliolum nationalis. RNAcentral describes it as "tRNA-Ile". Lineage: Eukaryota; Metazoa; Chordata; Thaliacea; Doliolida; Doliolidae. The record is from RNAcentral.
GUUGGUGUGUCAGAUAAAUGAGUAGUCUUGAUAGGGCUAUUAUGUGGUCAACCCACCACCAAUU